AGCAGCAGCCGCGGUAAUACGUAGGUGGCAAGCGUUAUCCGGAAUUAUUGGGCGUAAAGCGCGCGUAGGCGGGUUUUUAAGUCUGAUGUGAAAGCCCACGGCUCAACCGUGGAGGGUCAUUGGAAACUGGAGAACUUGAGUGCAGAAGAGGAAAGUGGAAUUCCAUGUGUAGCGGUGAAAUGCGCAGAGAUAUGGAGGAACACCAGUGGCGAAGGCGACUUUCUGGUCUGUAACUGACGCUGAUGUGCGAAAGCGUGGGGAUCAAACAGGAUUAGAUACCCCCGUAGUCCCUGUCUCUUAUAU
Molecule: ribosomal RNA, 303 nt
Filed under: uncultured bacterium
Lineage: Bacteria
Description: partial 16S ribosomal RNA
Rfam family: Bacterial small subunit ribosomal RNA
Source: RNAcentral